Molecule: non-coding RNA, 114 nt
Organism: Acanthosepion pharaonis
Lineage: Eukaryota; Metazoa; Mollusca; Cephalopoda; Sepiida; Sepiidae
Source: the annotation of a GenBank genome assembly
UUACGGCUAUAACCGGUUGCAACACCGGUCCUCGUACGGGUACCGAUGUUAAGCAACGUUGAACGUGGUUAGUAUCUAGAUGGGUGACCGUUUGGGAAUACCAGGAGCUGUAAG